RNAcentral lists this unclassified non-coding RNA (158 nucleotides) under uncultured Dermateaceae. RNAcentral's name for it is "sequence contains ITS1". Lineage: Eukaryota; Fungi; Ascomycota; Leotiomycetes; Helotiales; Dermateaceae. The record is from RNAcentral.
CAGAGUUCGUGCCCUCACGGGUAGAUCUCCCACCCUGUGUUAUUAUACCUUUGUUGCUUUGGCGGGCCGCCCUCGGCUACCGGCCCCGGCUGGUCAGUGCCCGCCAGAGAACCGAAAACUCUGAAUGUUAAUAUCGUCCGAGUACUAUAUAAUAGUUA